This 1275-nucleotide long non-coding RNA is filed under the name Apteryx owenii (little spotted kiwi). RNAcentral's name for it is "lncRNA (ENSAOWG00000001460.1)". Lineage: Eukaryota; Metazoa; Chordata; Aves; Apterygiformes; Apterygidae. The record is from RNAcentral.
AUGGCAGGCAGAGACGCCGCUCGCCCUGCGAAGGGAAAGGCGGCCAGGGCGGCACGGAGAGGAGGAGUGAGAGGAGAGGAAGGCUGCAGCGAGGGCUCUCCGGGGCCGAGGGGCUGCGCAGCCUGGCCCGUUGCCCGGGGGCUGCGAGCUAAUGGCUUUGGCAGCUGCGAAAAGUCAAGUCCGGAUUUCCUCGAGGGGGGGCGGAGGGAGCCGACCGCUCCGCGCCGCGGCGCCAGCCCUGCUUGCGGGGCGUCAGCUCUCCUCGCGGCGCCAGGAGCCUCCGAGGCUCUGCCACCGCGUUCCCUGCUGCUGCCGCCGUCCUGCAUCCCACUGGCAUCCCUGCAUCCCGCCGGCAUCCCCAUCGCCUGGGCACCGCUCGCAGGCGCCCUCCGCCAGGCCCCGCGUAGCCGAUCCGGUCCGGCUCGGCGCCGCCGUGCAGCCAGGCAAGCCUCCUUCUGCACGUGGUCUGCGCGUCCCUCUCUCGCUCUUCCUCUUCCAGUUCAUCUCUUCCCAGCGGCUUUCGCUCCCUGCAAAGCCGAGCCGCCGCCGUCCGCCCCGCUCCUGCCCGCGCCGCGCGGGUGCAGGGUGCAGCGUGCCUGCCCGCCGUGCAGAGCCGCGCACGCCGCCGAGCCCGGGGACGGGGCGAUGGCGCUGCCGCCCUCCUGCACCCCGGACACCGCUCCCAUGUGUCCCGCACGGCAGCCGGCCGCGGAAAUCCCCAGCACGCGUCGGGCCGGCCUUAUCUCCGCGGGCACGAGCGGUGGCAGACCUGCCAGCGAGAGCCGCGCGGCUCCGGCCCGCCGGAGAUUGGAGGUUGUCAUGGGGAGAGAGGCUGCCGAUUUGGGCGGUGGCUCUCUGCUUGCUCCAGAUAAGGCGUCCCCGUGUCCCCCGGCUGUGCCGGCGGGCUGGGAGCGCUGCCAGGGCUGGCCGGCCCCCCCUCCGCCUCCCUCUGCCGCCCCUCGCGCUCCCUCUCGGCACCUUUCCCGGCCGCUCGCCCUCUUGCAGACCCCUUCGCUCCUGCUCGCUUGCCUUCCUCAUCAGCAUUCGCGUCCACCCGUCCCCGCACCCACCCUCCCGCCAGCCUCUGCCACUUCCUCUGCCUCCUGCGAUCUGCUAUCUCAUCCAUCUGCUCGCCUCCGCCUGCGUCCGCCCGUGCCCGCGCCCGGCCCCGCCGCCGCUCCCACCCCUCUCCGGCGUGCAGAGGCAGCACCCGAGCCCCAGCCUGGUGUUAGCGCCCAGAGGGAUGUGGAGCCACAGAGGCAGCGGACCCUGUGA